RNAcentral lists this ribosomal RNA (253 nucleotides) under uncultured bacterium. Its description in RNAcentral is "partial 16S ribosomal RNA". It matches the Rfam family "Bacterial small subunit ribosomal RNA", at positions 524 to 776 of the family's 1533-position model. The record is from RNAcentral.
UACAGAGGGUGCAAGCGUUGUUCGGAAUUAUUGGGCGUAAAGCGCGUGUAGGCGGCUUUGCAAGUCGGGUGUGAAAGCCCUCAGCUUAACUGAGGAAGUGCGCCCGAAACUGCAUAGCUUGAGUACCGGAGAGGGUGGCGGAAUUCCCCAAGUAGAGGUGAAAUUCGUAGAUAUGGGGAGGAACACCAGUGGCGAAGGCGGCCACCUGGACGGAUACUGACGCUGAGGCGCGAAAGCGUGGGUAGCAAACAGG